RNAcentral lists this ribosomal RNA (696 nucleotides) under Triticum aestivum (bread wheat). Its description in RNAcentral is "partial small subunit ribosomal RNA". The record is from RNAcentral. Lineage: Eukaryota; Viridiplantae; Streptophyta; Magnoliopsida; Poales; Poaceae.
AUGUCCGGAUUCAGCCCUCAAGGCCGAUGGAUGCCCUCCUCCGUGACAGAAGAGGACAUUAAGAAGUUGAGGGAGGCCAGAUACCUGACCGCCAAGGUUUCUCAUCGGCUGCCUACUCGAGGGCAGGUCGUCCCUACUCCCGAACCCAACGAGAACGUUGUGUUCAUAUCCCACUUCCUCCGAGGUCUAGGCCUCACUCUGGAUCCUUUCGUCAGGGGCUUGAUGUUCUAUUACGGGCUAGAUUUCCACGAUCUAGCUCCGGACUCCUUUCUCCACAUCACGACAUUUAUUGUCGUGUGUGAGGCCUUCCUCCGUGUGACCCCUCACUUUGGCCUGUGGCUCAAGACCUUUGAAGUACAACCGAAGAUGAUCGAGGGGCAACAUGCAGCGUGCGGAGGUGCAUCAAUAGGCAAGAUGGCAGGAGCUCCAUGGCCGAAAGGUUCCUUUCCAGAGGUGUCCGAAUUAUGGCAAUGGGAGUGGUUUUACGUCACGGCUCCUAGAAGUGCCAAGUGGGCGGCUGCCCCCGCGUUCCGCCCGAGCCCCCCCCCCCCACAACUGAUGUCAUGGAUUAGCAGGGGUCUGAGCUGGGGUCCAGCCAAGGACGUGCCUAUACUGCAAAGCCGCAUCCGAGAUCUCUUUGAGGGAGAUUUUAAUUUGGUUGCGGUAAUACAAGUUAUGCUGGUUCGUCAAGUCUAG